AGCGGCGGACGGGUGAGUAACGCGUGGGUAACCUGCCUCAUACAGGGGGAUAACAGUUGGAAACGGCUGCUAAUACCGCAUAAGCGCACAGUACCGCAUGGUACGGUGUGAAAAACUCCGGUGGUAUGAGAUGGACCCGCGUCUGAUUAGGUAGUUGGUGAGGUAACGGCCCACUAAGGCGACGAUCGGUAGCCGGACUGAGAGGUUGAACGGCCACAUUGGGACUGAGACACGGCCCAG
Molecule: ribosomal RNA, 240 nt
Filed under: uncultured bacterium
Lineage: Bacteria
Description: partial 16S ribosomal RNA
Rfam family: Bacterial small subunit ribosomal RNA
Source: RNAcentral